Molecule: transfer RNA, 141 nt
Filed under: Thermoplasmatales archaeon B_DKE
Lineage: Archaea; Methanobacteriati; Thermoplasmatota; Thermoplasmata; Thermoplasmatales
Rfam family: tRNA
About the family: Transfer RNA (tRNA) molecules are approximately 80 nucleotides in length. Their secondary structure includes four short double-helical elements and three loops (D, anti-codon, and T loops).
Source: Rfam by way of RNAcentral
GGGCGCAUGGGGUAGUCAGGUAUCCUAACGGGCUCCAGUCAGGGUGUGAUUAGCUAUGGGUCAACUGAUCUUAUGAUGAGUGACUGGAACUAUGAACCGGGAAGAGACCCGUAGAUCUGGGUUCAAAUCCCAGUGCGCCCA